This 347-nucleotide unclassified non-coding RNA is filed under the name soil metagenome. RNAcentral describes it as "partial contains 5.8S ribosomal RNA, internal transcribed spacer 2, and large subunit ribosomal RNA". The stretch from base 5 to 119 matches the Rfam family "5.8S ribosomal RNA", at positions 40 to 154 of the family's 154-position model. The record is from RNAcentral.
GAUGAGAACGCAGCGAAAUGCGAUAAGUAAUGUGAAUUGCAGAAUUCAGUGAAUCAUCGAAUCUUUGAACGCACAUUGCGCCCGCCAGUAUUCUGGCGGGCAUGCCUGUCUGAGCGUCAUUUCAACCCUCAUGCCCCUAGGGCGUGGUGUUGGGGAUCGGCCAAAGCCCGCGAGGGACGGCCGGCCCCUAAAUCUAGUGGCGGACCCGUCGUGGCCUCCUCUGCGAAGUAGUGAUAUUCCGCAUCGGAGAGCGAUGAGCCCCUGCCGUUAAACCCCCAACUUUCCAAGGUUGACCUCAGAUCAGGUAGGAAUACCCGCUGAACUUAAGCAUAUCAAUAAGCGGAGGA